This 117-nucleotide small nucleolar RNA is filed under the name Corchorus olitorius. Its description in RNAcentral is "small nucleolar RNA snoR126". It matches the Rfam family "small nucleolar RNA snoR126". Lineage: Eukaryota; Viridiplantae; Streptophyta; Magnoliopsida; Malvales; Malvaceae. The record is from Rfam by way of RNAcentral.
GGGCAAUGAUGACAGAUUUACGUUUCUCGAUUUUGAUUUGAAUUUUUUUUAUUAAAUUGUUUUGAUUUAAGGACCAAACAGCUAUCUGAUGACAGCGUUUGUGCGUGUCUGAGCCAA